AUGCUCACUUCAGCAGCACAGAGACUAAAAUUGGGUUGAUAUGGAGAAGAUUAUUAGCAUGGUCCCUGCACAGGAUGACACACAGAUUUGUGAAGCUUUCCAUUUAAAG
Molecule: small nuclear RNA, 109 nt
Organism: Arvicanthis niloticus (Nile rat)
Lineage: Eukaryota; Metazoa; Chordata; Mammalia; Rodentia; Muridae
Source: RefSeq, a predicted model, not a curated record